AGUGAACGCUGGCGGUAGGCCUAACACAUGCAAGUCGAACGGCAGCACAGUAAGAGCUUGCUCUUACGGGUGGCGAGUGGCGGACGGGUGAGGAAUACAUCGGAAUCUACUUUUUCGUGGGGGAUAACGUAGGGAAACUUACGCUAAUACCGCAUACGACCUACGGGUGAAAGUAGGGGAUCUUCGGACCUUGCGCGAUUGAAUGAGCCGAUGUCGGAUUAGCUAGUUGGCGGGGUAAAGGCCCACCAAGGCGACGAUCCGUAGCUGGUCUGAGAGGAUGAUCCGCCACACUGGAACUGAGACACGGUCCAGACUCCUACGGGAGGCAGCAGUGGGGAAUAUUGGACAAUGGGCGCAAGCCUGAUCCAGCCAUACCGCGUGGGUGAAGAAGGCCUUCGGGUUGUAAAGCCCUUUUGUUGGGAAAGAAAAGCAGCAGGUUAAUACCCCGCUGUUCUGACGGUACCCAAAGAAUAAGCACCGGCUAACUUCGUG
This 492-nucleotide ribosomal RNA is filed under the name uncultured bacterium. Its description in RNAcentral is "partial 16S ribosomal RNA". It matches the Rfam family "Bacterial small subunit ribosomal RNA", at positions 29 to 507 of the family's 1533-position model. The record is from RNAcentral.